RNAcentral lists this ribosomal RNA (254 nucleotides) under uncultured bacterium. Its description in RNAcentral is "partial 16S ribosomal RNA". It matches the Rfam family "Bacterial small subunit ribosomal RNA", at positions 524 to 776 of the family's 1533-position model. The record is from RNAcentral.
CACGUAGGGGGCAAGCGUUGUCCGGAUUUAUUGGGCGUAAAGAGCUCGUAGGCGGUUCGGUAAGUCGGGUGUGAAACCUCCAGGCUCAACCUGGAGACGCCACCCGAUACUGCUGUGACUAGAGUCCGGUAGGGGAGCGUGGAAUUCCUGGUGUAGCGGUGAAAUGCGUAGAUAUCGAGAGGAACACCUGCGGCGAAGGCGGGUAGCUGGGCCGACACUGACGCUGAGGCGCGAAAGCCAGGGGAGCGAACGGG